Pimephales promelas (fathead minnow) is the source of this 1133-nucleotide non-coding RNA. The record is from RefSeq and is a predicted model, not a curated record. Lineage: Eukaryota; Metazoa; Chordata; Actinopteri; Cypriniformes; Leuciscidae.
UAAAAAAAUUAGUUUUAACUUCAUGAUUUAAUAUUAAUGACAUUAUACAUUAUUAUAAGAUGUUUUUCUUAAUGCUGCGUGCGUGCCUUUGAUGCGCGUGCGCGUGAACAUUCAAAUCACAGGAGCGCGCGAGCAGUUUGAAUUGAAACAGGAAGCGUCGUGCCGUCGUCAACUGACAAACACCAACUAGCGUCUCUCGCUGUUGUCACUGCGUUCAGAAAUGAUUUUGGGUCUUCGAAAAAGUCCGUUAGCAUCUCAAUCGUUUUCAGAAGAGGCUAGCAGCUAAGUUAGCUAAGAUCAUGUUGAUGUCCUAAGUUACUGCACCCCCUGUCCAAGACAAUCUCCACGGCUAUGAACUCGACUAGUGUGUUUUGAAAUAAGUUGUCCAAUGAGACAUCGUACUGUCCAACUCAAAGUAGAGCCCUGCGCAGGACUAUUUUCCUCACCCCGCCGAAUCUCUGACCAUUACCGCCCGCUCCCGCAACGGAUGUUACACUCCCGUGGGACCCGGCGGUACUCAAUCCCAAUGCAGCCCUCUACCAAGCACAAAGCUAACUUUUGUAAAUUGCACAAAGCACAACAGGAGGGAUCAUGAAAUUUGAUUCUGCAGCCACAGAGAAGUAAAUCAAGAUGCAUGUUUCUGAGCACCUCAAGCACGCGCCGCAAAGAUUGGAGGUAGAGGAUUCACAACUCCCUGAUGAGCCAAGACGAGAGGACUUGAAUUAUAAAUUAAAUUACAAUCUAGUUAUUUGUUCAUAAUUGUGCUUUACUGUGGCCCUUCAAUGACAAUCUAAUUAUUUGUUCAUAAUUAAAUUAACUUACAAUUUUACACUACAGUGUUUAACACCUGUUAUAGAUGUGUAAAGGCAUGAAUUAAUCAUUUGCACUUUCUGCAUAAAGUGUGAACUAUUCAUCACUUGUAAAUGUCUUACACUACAUUCAUAGAGAUCUACUAACUAAUUAUUUGUUCAUAAUUGUGCUAGAUAUAUUUGGUGCCCUUCAAUUGCAAUCUAAUUAUUUGUUCAUAAUUAAAUUACAAUCUAAUUAUUUGUACAUAAUUGUGCUUGAUAUGUCCAGUGCCCUUCUGAUGCUAUUCAUGGCAAUUUAUUUUUGAAUAAAGAUUAAAAUGGUGA